This 292-nucleotide unclassified non-coding RNA is filed under the name uncultured fungus. RNAcentral describes it as "sequence contains ITS1". The stretch from base 1 to 94 matches the Rfam family "5.8S ribosomal RNA", at positions 51 to 154 of the family's 154-position model. Lineage: Eukaryota; Fungi. The record is from RNAcentral.
AAGUGCGAUAUUUAGUGCGAUUUGCAUGAAUCUGUGAGUCAUCGAGUCUUUGAACGCAACUUGCGCCCUCUGGGGCAUGUCUGUUUGAGCAUCACAACCAAUGCCAAUGCAGCAAUGCGACUUGCCUCACCUGUAGGGUGUGGUGGAAUGCAGAUUUACAGCGUGGAGGCGAGGAGCCUCUUGGAGCCAGAGACACCGACGCGAGUCUGCGGUCUUGUCCAAGAAUCUCCAACACCAACACCAUCACUACAAUCGCGGUCUCAAAUCAGGCAGGACUACCCGCUGAACUUAA